Molecule: ribosomal RNA, 490 nt
Filed under: uncultured bacterium
Lineage: Bacteria
Description: partial 16S ribosomal RNA
Rfam family: Bacterial small subunit ribosomal RNA
Source: RNAcentral
AUUGAACGCUGGCGGCAGGCCUAACACAUGCAAGUCGAACGGUAACAGGAAACAGCUUGCUGUUUCGCUGACGAGUGGCGGACGGGUGAGUAAUGUCUGGGAAACUGCCUGAUGGAGGGGGAUAACUACUGGAAACGGUAGCUAAUACCGCAUAACGUCGCAAGACCAAAGAGGGGGACCCUCGGGCCUCUUGCCAUCGGAUGUGCCCAGAUGGGAUUAGCUUGUUGGUGGGGUAACGGCUCACCAAGGCGACGAUCCCUAGCUGGUCUGAGAGGAUGACCAGCCACACUGGAACUGAGACACGGUCCAGACUCCUACGGGAGGCAGCAGUGGGGAAUAUUGCGCAAUGGGCGCAAGCCUGAUGCAGCCAUGCCGCGUGUAUGAAGAAGGCCUUCGGGUUGUAAAGUACUUUCAGCGGGGAGGAAGGGAGUAAAGUUAAUACCUUUGCUCAUUGACGUUACCCGCAGAAGAAGCACCGGCUAACUCCGUG